RNAcentral lists this ribosomal RNA (542 nucleotides) under Bacteroidetes bacterium oral taxon 280. Its description in RNAcentral is "bacterial SSU rRNA". It matches the Rfam family "Bacterial small subunit ribosomal RNA", at positions 383 to 926 of the family's 1533-position model. The record is from RNAcentral. Lineage: Bacteria; Pseudomonadati; Bacteroidota.
CUGAACCAGCCAUGCCGCGUGAAGGAAUAAGGUCCUAUGGAUCUGAAACUUCUUUUGAGCGGGAGCAAUAAGGUCUACGUGUAGACCGAUGAGAGUACCGUUCGAAUAAGCAUCGGCUAACUCCGUGCCAGCAGCCGCGGUAAUACGGAGGAUGCAAGCGUUAUCCGGAUUUAUUGGGUUUAAAGGGUGCGUAGGCCGUUGUGCAAGUCAGAGGUGAAAUUGUGGGGCUCAACUCCGCCGCUGCCUUUGAAACUGCAUGACUUGAAUCCUGUUGCCGUGGGAGGAAUGAGUAGUGUAGCGGUGAAAUGCAUAGAUAUUACUCAGAACCCCAAUUGCGAAGGCAUCUCACGAAGCAGGUAUUGACGCUGAGGCACGAAAGCGUGGGUAUCAAACAGGAUUAGAUACCCUGGUAGUCCACGCUGUAACGAUGAUAACUAACCGCCGGCGAUAUAGUGUCGGUGGCCAAGCGAAAGCGAUAAGUUAUCCACCUGGGGAGUACGACCGCAAGUUGAAACUCAAAGGAAUUGACGGGGGGCCCGCAC